Amphiprion ocellaris (clown anemonefish) is the source of this 6444-nucleotide RNA transcript. It is a transcript of the gene named coiled-coil domain containing 142, with no coding region annotated. The record is from RefSeq and is a predicted model, not a curated record. The transcript has 13 exons. NCBI's taxonomy places the organism in Eukaryota, Metazoa, Chordata, Actinopteri, Pomacentridae.
GCAAAUGCUAUUUUAAACCAUACUUCCUUGGGAGCAUUGGAUUAACAAGCCCAUCUUACGAAAGGCGUAAGUCAGUAUUAAGAUAUUUUGCCGUGUCUUCAGUGAAGGUAUCCGAUAAAUAUAUCAGUAGUUGCAGAUUAAAAGCCGUUAGUUGGUGCCAAAUGGCAAGCCCGCUGCUACAGUUGGGUGGUUUUCUUACCGCUAACAGGUUGAGAAGCUAAUAGUUUGUUUUGUAUAAGCAAAGACAAGUAAGCGGUCAAAAACGUUCUUCUGUUCCACCGAGAUGCACGUCUGGACGCAGCAUCUAUUUGUUAGUUGUUUUGUAUGGGAUGGAUCACAACAACCCAGAGAUACUGAAAGAUCCCGGUGGAGAGCUAGGUCUAACCGCAGACUGGGGAAAUUCAGAGUCCUUCUGUCCUGAAAAGGAGCCGAAGAGAUGUAGUUCCUGGACAGAGACAGAGGAUUUAAGCAUAAAUGGUUACAUGUCACAGAGCUCCAUCUCCUAUUCCUUGCAGCGAGCUGAGGUUUUGUUUAAAAACACCUUUAAUCCCAGUCUGAAAUGGCUGUUUCAUGGUCACAGUGAAGAUGAGGAAGAGGAAAAUUUUGUUGUCGCUUACAACCUGGUAUCCCGUUCGUCUGCACGUCUCCUGCGUCUUCAACAAACUCUUCUUAUUAUGUCACCUCAAUGGCAGCUGGUGGGUGAGGCACAGAUGACAUCUCCCCAGGCCUGCGUUAAAGGCCUUCCAGGUGAAGGUGGUGUUCUCUUCCUCCCCUCUUUCUGCUGCCUGCAGGGACACUAUAGAGCUCUGUGGAUGCUCCUGAAUCAGCGAUCCUCACUGGUCUUCAUACACGAGUACAGCAGGAGGGCUCGCCUAGCAGCAGCAUACGUAGCCAGAGUGAGACAUCUGUUGGAGCAUCAGCUGAAGAACUCAUACCUGACACCAAACCAGAUCCCAUCCAACUGUUCUCCAUUUAGAAUCGGUCUUGGUUUACUGAGUCAGGAACUCCGGGUCCAUCUCAACCACUGGUCCUGUCUGUUCUCCAAAGUCCAAUCUGACCACUAUCUGAGACACAGUCUUAUUCAGCAGACCAAUUUGCUGUUGGAAAUCAAACAGACUUUGGACUUACUUGGUCUGCAGGCGCUAAUUUUGAUGGAACAUUAUGUGUAUGCCAUUCUGUCCGCUAUAGCACAGACUGAAUUAGACUCUGUACCAAAAGAAGUCCUGGAAGACAUUUUAGCAGGUGCAAACCUGUAUAACCAGGCAGUGGAGGAGCAAAGAGUGCAGCACAGUGCUACCCAGCUGAGGACUACAUUAUUACAGAAAGCCCAUUAUUUCACACUGGAUUCUGGUCUUCCACAGAUUAAAAGGUAUCAUCCUUCUGCAUUCUCAGUUAAAGAGAUAAUGUCCAUUUUAGCAGUGCAUCAUGCAGAAGUGGCAGCUAAGCAGCUGCAGUACUGGGCAUUUGAGCAGAACGAACGCAUCUGUCAGGUCCACACCAACCAUAAGGUGUGCACUUGUUCUGAUAACUGCAUUAGUCAGGUGCCUAGCCUCAGCUGUGGGAUGUCCACAUUGAAAUCUGAGUGGACCUGGGAGCAGCUGCAACAUGCUUACCAAAUUUCCUCUCCUCACUUCUGCAUUAAUCAUUCUACUUUGCAGUUAUCUUUUUGCUAUUCCUGCAAUAGAACUCCACUUGUGUAUGUCCCUGACCUUCAUUUGGACAGUACUUUCUUGGAAAACUGUCAUCCUGUUUUAGCUAAGCCCAUUUCUGUCCAACACAGAAAAGAGGGCCCAAAAAAAGACCAAAUUGACCAGAAUCAAACAUACCAGUCUGAUCUCACACAGAGCAAUGUGGAAGAUUUGGAUUCAGUGCAACCGAAUAGGGAAAGAAAAACACAGUUUAAAAACUGUAUACUACUACAGACUGUCUCACCCACUUCAACCACCUUCCAUCAUCUCACAGCGCUGCCUCUGUCAAGGGUCCAACUGGACCAUUCCUCAGUACAGCUACUUUUUCAGGUGAUCUCCUCCACCUCCAGUGACCUGCUGGCUCAAGUGGUAUCAGAAACGCCUACAUCAGAAGGACCAACUGACCAGCUACUCCCAACUACAAUACCUGAUAUGUUAAAUGGGAAGGUGGACUCAAGGAUUUCAUGUGAUCCAGUCAUAAAUACAACUGAUCCAGUAAAUCAAAACAAGGACCAGAAUGUGGAAGGACCUCAGCAAAAAUGGAAAAUGACAACUCGGCCAGAUACCACUGAAAGCUCAGGCUUCCAGAGGAAUGGAGACUCAGAGAAAGAGGAUUUUACAGGAGCAGAGGGAACAACAGUGAACUCAGAGUGUGUUCAGUGGCCUCACUCGGUACAGUGGUCAGACCUUGGUCAGUCAAUGGUGUUCGCUGAUCUUCUUGAACAGUAUCACACGCUGCUUUGGACUCUUUGCAGCAAAGCCCUGUGGCUACAAAUGCAUGUGUCACAUGAAAGUAGCACUGCAGAAAGCAUCAACCUUCAAGACAACCACAUGAGCGUACACAUUCUCCACAGGAUUGGUCAAGCUUCAGCGUCAGGUCUGGUUCCAAAGGAGUGCAAAACCAUGCUGGAGGACGUCAGUCUUUAUCUGUUGAUCAUUACAGCACAUUCUCACUGGGACUAUGUGGUAUGCAGAAGUUUAGGUUCUUCUCUGAAAGAUCAGUGUCUUGCAAACCAAGGGACCAACUUUGUGAUGCCAACUUCUAAGCAAGAUGGAAGUGUGAUGAAUUCCCUGACCAUGGAGCACUUCCUACUGCUACCUCCACCUCUCCUGUCAUCUCUGUGCUGCCAUCACGUAAACAGCGGGGCCUUAGGUCCUCUUAGCCUCUUCCCCUCCAGAUUCACUCUUCGGAGACAGACUGUUAGCUUGGUGCUAGCCUCAGUACAGCUGUCUACAGUCUGGGUCAUGUCCAAGGCUUACCAAUUCCUCUCUUCAUGGAGCCUCAAUAAGUUCCUGCUUAUCACACAAGGGGACUUAAAUAGAGCUCUAACUCCAUUUAGUCUUCAGUAAAGUACAGGAGUAAGCUACAGCCAGGCAACAUUACAGGAGUGGGCUGAGCCGACAGCAACGCUCCUCCACGGAUGCAGAUAAUACUUUGAUUUCAUCAGCUGGUGUCCUAGACAGCGGCAGAUCAGCCACCUGCCUCUUCACCCUCUCCAAUAAAGACUGGUUUCUCACUCCACUCCCUGCCAGAUCGUGAUCGCAGCUCACGCUGUUAGUUCGUCUAGGCUCUGCAUAUUUUUGUAUCUCGUAUUUUCUGACCUGCCUAAUACAACUGUCUACUCUGCCUCCAAAUCCGCUGACCGCACUGUCAGGAUCGUGCUGCAGCCUCGCCUGGACCAGCCGUCUGCUGGAUAAUCCGCCCGCUAUCAGCUCUGUUCUGUCUGGCCGUUCGCCGACCCGGACCGCUGGAAUUCCCCCUCACCUCCCGAAGAGGACCGGCUGCUCCCUCCGCCUCUGGCUCUCCCCUCUGACCGCCGCUGCUGUCCACCGCUCCGCCAGCUGUGCCACACGUACGCUCUUUGGCUCACCGGUCCCCCGGAGCCUGCCUUCCCCCCCUCACACCACUUAUUGUGAGUUCGGCCUUAGUUUAAGUUUAGCUUCCUAGUCUGGCUUUUUAGUUACUAAUCCUCAGGUUGCAUUAGUUAGUUAUCAUUAGAAUUUUCCCCGCCAGCUUUUGCAUUUGGCUUUUGUAAAAUAAAUUGGUUUCUAUUUGAUUUGACUCUGCCUGUUCUGUGCAUCCUUUUUUGGGUUCUCUACCGGCCGUUCCUGACAGUACGAUCUGACCAUGAUGGAUCGAGGACGCACAGGCUGGUGCUGAGCCCGCACCAGCCCCCCUGCAUCUGCAACAGGCUGUAUCCUGCCAGGGGAUUCUCUUGGGCCAAUACUAACAGUCACUUCGAAGCUUAAAUGAUUCAAAUCAAAGAUUACCCACCCAGAUGAAUGUGUUAACCAAUAACGUCACAGAGCUGUCAGCAUGCAUUUCUCAGCCACCGGCUCAGAGUAACAUACCUCAGCCUGGUCCUGCGGGGGCUGACCAGAGCCUCCCCAUAAUGCACAAACCCUAUGUUCCGGUCCUGGAACAUUAUGCAGGGGAUCUGGGAACCUGCUGGGCAUUCCUCACGCAGGUCUCCCUAGUUUUUGAACAACAACCGCGUACCUAUAAUACUGAUAGAUCACGAAUAGCCUACCUUAUUAGCCUUCUCACAGGGGCAGCUCGCGACUGGGGAUCAGCAGUCUGGGAGUUGCAGCUGGCUAUCUGCAACUCCUAUGCAGCUUUUACUCUGGAAAUGAAAAAGGUCUUUGAUCACCCUGUGAGAGGUCAGGACACAGGCCGCCGUCUCACCUCUCUCCACCAAGGAGCACAGAGCAUGGCUGAGUACACGAUGGAGUUCCGUACCCUAGCGGCGGAGAGCGGCUGGAAUGACAUCACCCUGCAAGGAGCCUUUCAGAGGGGUUUAACCAAGGAUCUUAAGGAUGGGCUGGCGGCGCGGGACGAGGCCUCGUCUCUAGACCAAGUAAUUGCCCUUGCCAUCUGGAUUGACAACCGUUUCCGAGAGCGCAGCCGUGAGCCUGGCCCCUGCAGUCCUCCCGUGCACGCCCCAGUCCACCUGGUCCAGCCAUGAACCCACCUCGAGCGCCCCAAGUCGUCGCAGCCCUCCCCGAAGAGGAACCAAUGCAGCUUGGAUGAGCUCGGAUCUCCGCGAAGGAGAGGAACCUCCACCUGCGGACAAACUCCUGCCUCUACUGUGGCAAGGCAGGUCACUAAGCAGCUUGCCCCGCCAAACGAGCAAAAGACCAGACUCGCCAGUAAUUGGGGAGAUACUGGUGAGUCAUACCUUUGUUCAGUCCCCACGACAACUGUGGGUCUCUGCUACCCUCUGCUGAAGGGAGUGGCAGCCACACUCACCACCCUGAUCGAUUCGGGAGCUGAGGGGAAUUUUAUGGACCAGUCUUUGGUAACUAAGCUCGGCAUCCCCACGGAACUGCUGACCACGCCUCUGGUGGCUCGUGCCCUCAACGGACAGUGCCUUGCCCAGGUCCGACGGAGAACAGUUCCAGUCACCAUCCUCCUCUCAGGUAACCACCAAGAGCGCCUAACAUUCUGCAUCAUUGACUCCCUACACACCCCUCUCAUUCUAGGUUUCCCUUAGCUCCGCCAGCAUAAUCCUCACCACCUGUCACGCUGUCUGCCUUCGCUCAGCCCCGACACUGCUUCUCCCCCUUCCCAGCCUGUUCUGGUGGAUCUGUCCAGGGUGCCUGCCACCUAUCACGACCUUGCGUCAGUCUUUUGUAAGGAUCAGGCCCGGUCACUGCCCCCGCACCAAUCUUACAAUUGUGCAACUGACCUGCUGCCCGGAGCCCCCCUGCCCAGCAGCUGCUUGUACAAUCCUUCCAAACCCGAACAAGCCACCAUGGAGUUGUAUAUCAAGGACUCCCUAGCAGCUGGCCUGAUUCGUCCCACCUCCUCACCUGUCAGAGCAGGGUUUUUUUCGUUGGGAAGAAGGACAAAACCCUGCGGCCCUAUAUUGACUUCCGGGCGCUCAAUAACAUUAUCGUGAAGAACAAAUAUCCACUCCCACUUAUCAGUUCGGCCUUUGCCCCCCUCCACGGUGCCACAGUCUUUACUAAAUUAGAUAUCUGGAACGCCUACGGGAGGGAGACAAGUGCAAGAUGGCUUUUAACACCCCUUCGGCCUGACCAACGCCCCAGCCAUUUUCCAGAAUCUGGUCAGUGAUGUACUGCAGGACUUCCUGAACCGGAUCGUCUUUGUAUACCUGGAUGACAUCCUGAUCUUCUCCUGCAGCCUGGAGGACCAUCAACAGCAUGUCCGUCAGGUCCUGAAGUGCCUGCUACACAACCGCCUCUUCGUGAAAGCGGAGAAAUGCGAAUUCCAUGCUCGGACGGAAUCAUUCCUGGGCUACAUUAUAUCUGCGGGAGAGAUCAGGAUGGACUGCCGCUACCUUGGCCGGCAAGGUAGCGGCAGUAAAAGAGUGGCCCCGACCCGAGAGCCGUAAACAGCUCCAGCAGUUUCUCAGGUUUGCAAAUGUUUACCACCAUUUUAUAAAGAAUUACAGCCGUGUUGCGGUGCCACUGACAGCACUCACUUCCAUGGCGCUCAAGUUCCUUCGGAAUCCUGGAGCUGAAGCAGCCUUCCAGGAGCUUAAGGAUCACUUUGUGUCCGCGCCCAUCCUCAUCCAGCCAGACCCUAGCCUGCAGUUUGUGGUAGAGGUGGACGCCUCCGACACCGGCGCUGGGGCGGUCCUGUCUCAGGUCUCGCCCACCAACAAUAAGCUGCACCCCUGUGCAUUUUUUUUCCAAGAAACUAUCAGCCGCAGAAAGAAACUAUGACAUUGGGAACAGAGAACUCCUGGCGGUGAACCUGGCAUUGGAGGAGUGGUGUCAUUGGCUGGAG